CUCUUUUUCAAUAUCUUUUGUGUCAUUUUAUUUAGUUUUUUUUAAGGCACAUACUUAAAUAUAUAUCUACAUACCACUUUACAUUUAUAUCGAUUCUGCCACUGUGUUUCACCCUGUACAACAGAGCGAGACCCCAUCUCUAUUAACAACAAAACAAAACAAAAGCAAUUCGUCUCAUACAGGACCCCUAUAUCUUUAUUGUGCUUGAAAAAUGGAUCUUUGGACUCACUGCACUGACAUAGGCUGAAUGCAAUAGUAGGUUAAUGUUUUACUGACACCAAUGAGUAGCUAAGCAGGAUACUCCAGAUUUUUAAUUGAUGAAAAGACACGAAUAUAGAACAAAAAAAUAAUCAGCCAGAAGACAUAGGCAGAAGAAAUUGCUUUCUAAUUUCCUCUUAUCCAUGACUUUUCACAAAAAGCACAGAAUCAUAAAUUCUAUUGGGUUUUUAACAGAAAACAUGGAGUCUUCACUUUGACCAAUGACUGUCUACUCCUUCCUUCUAUAGCAUUCCCCCUCCUGCUGCAUGUCUCAGUCUAACUGGUCAUUGAUAGUGGCAGGAGACAGACAAAUUCCUAGGCCGACAGGGUUGGGUUCCUGGUGAAACCCAGCCUUCAAAUCAAAGACAAUUUAAAGCCUGAAAACCGACCUGCUGAUUCCAGAUAGAGUCUACAACCAGAGACACGGCUUUACCUCCUUCUCCAGAGGAUGCAACAAUAAGGCACCAUCUUGGAAGCAGAAAGCAGCCCUCACCAGACACCAAAUCUGCCAGCACCUUGAUCUUGGAUUUCCCAGACUCCAGAACUGUGAGAAAUAAAUUUUUAUUUUUUAUCAAUGAGCCAGUCUAAGGUAUUUUGUUAUAGCAACGCAAACGGACCAAGAUAAUUACCUUUUUUUACUAGAAUAUUUGUUACCUGAGCAUGAAGUUUUAUCUUUCUUUACUGCCUUUUACAUAGGAGGUAAUCAAAUGUGUCCUGAAUUCAGGUUAUUAAAUUAUAUAAUGAAUUAGAUUAUAUUGCCACUGUGUUGUCUCUUUUCACCAAAAUCUACUAAUAAAUAGUUAUGUUAAGAAAUUAAAUAUAUUGCCAGGUGCGGUGGCUCACGCUGUAAUCCCAGCACUUUGGGAAGCUGAGGCGGGCGGAUCACAAGGUCAGAAGUUCAAGACCAGCCUGGCCAAGAGACCAGCCUGGUCAAUAUGGUGAAACCCUAUCUCUACUAAAAA
RNAcentral lists this long non-coding RNA (1220 nucleotides) under Homo sapiens (human). Its description in RNAcentral is "HSALNT0040669". Lineage: Eukaryota; Metazoa; Chordata; Mammalia; Primates; Hominidae. The record is from RNAcentral.